UCUCUCUCUCUCUCUCUCUCCCUCCCCUCUUGGGGGUUCAGAACCCCUAAAACUAAACCCUAAAUUGAACAAUUUCUAUUGGUUUUAGCAGCGUUGAUCUCUCUAGGGCUUGCUAUUACUUCUCAUACACAUCGUUAUUGGUGGUUUUGUGUGAUGAAAAUGUUCUAUUGCUUAUAUGAACUUGGAUGAUUUGCUUUUAAAUCUAUCAUGAAUAUUAGUCUGCAU
Molecule: non-coding RNA, 225 nt
Organism: Camellia sinensis
Lineage: Eukaryota; Viridiplantae; Streptophyta; Magnoliopsida; Ericales; Theaceae
Source: RefSeq, a predicted model, not a curated record